This 230-nucleotide ribosomal RNA is filed under the name uncultured bacterium. RNAcentral's name for it is "partial 16S ribosomal RNA". It matches the Rfam family "Bacterial small subunit ribosomal RNA", at positions 524 to 753 of the family's 1533-position model. The record is from RNAcentral.
GACAGAGGUGCCGAGCGUUAGGCGGAAUCACUGGGCUUAAAGCGUGUGUAGGCGGAUCGUUAAGUGCCUUGUGAAAUCCCAUGGCUUAACCAUGGAACUGCUUGGCAUACUGGCGGUCUUGAGCCACUUAGGGGCAACCGGAACAAAUGGUGGAGCGGUGAAAUGCGUAGAUAUGCGGAGGAACACCGAUGGCGAAGGCAAUCCCCUGGACCUGUACUGACGCUCAUGCA